This 502-nucleotide long non-coding RNA is filed under the name Mytilus galloprovincialis (Mediterranean mussel). Lineage: Eukaryota; Metazoa; Mollusca; Bivalvia; Mytilida; Mytilidae. The record is from RNAcentral.
AUUCAAGAUUUCAUAUUACUGUAAGGAAAACAUGUGAAUAUCAACAAUUAGAAUUGUAUCGCAUAGUUUUAGUUAGUUGCUAGUUUAUUUUUUGUGCUAAGAACUGUAUCAUAUGAAACCUUUUACAUUACACAAGUUUAGAUGUGUAUUGAACUUCUAUUUUCUGUAUUGGCCUGUCCCAUUUUUGAGGGACGACCGUGACUAUUUCAAGACGUAAGGAUUGGGCGUUUAUUUUCGUUGUAAUUCGGGACUACAUCUAUCGAAAAAUUAUCAAUUCAUAAUUAGUGGAAAAGAGAAUUGGCCUUGUGAAACCUUUCUGCAAAAGCAAUUUUCUGAUGCUUUGUCAUUUACCAUGUUUACCAUUCUCUUUUGUUCAAAGCAAUACAAAUGUGUAAUUGUUAUGCUAGUAGUUAAUAGUUAUUAAUAUUUAAAAUUGUUGUCAUAUAUUAUGUAUUAUUACUUAGAACAUCAAACUAUGUUAGUUUUAGAUUAUCAUCCGUCC